AUUGAACGCUGGCGGCAUGCCUUACACAUGCAAGUCGAACGGUAACAGGUCUUCGGGUGCUGACGAGUGGCGAACGGGUGAGUAAUACAUCGGAACGUGCCUAGUAGUGGGGGAUAACUACUCGAAAGAGUGGCUAAUACCGCAUGAGAUCUACGGAUGAAAGCAGGGGAUCGCAAGACUUUGUGCUACUAGAGCGGCCGAUGGCAGAUUAGGUAGUUGGUGGGAUAAAAGCUUACCAAGCCGACGAUCUGUAGCUGGUCUGAGAGGACGAUCAGCCACACUGGGACUGAGACACGGCCCAGACUCCUACGGGAGGCAGCAGUGGGGAAUUUUGGACAAUGGGCGAAAGCCUGAUCCAGCAAUGCCGCGUGCAGGAUGAAGGCCUUCGGGUUGUAAACUGCUUUUGUACGGAACGAAAAGCCCCGGGUUAAUACCCUGGGGUCAUGACGGUACCGUAAGAAUAAGCACCGGCUAACUACGUGCCAGCAGCCGCGGUAA
This 498-nucleotide ribosomal RNA is filed under the name uncultured bacterium. RNAcentral describes it as "partial 16S ribosomal RNA". It matches the Rfam family "Bacterial small subunit ribosomal RNA", at positions 30 to 523 of the family's 1533-position model. The record is from RNAcentral.